GUCUACGGCCAAGCCACCCUGAACAAGCCCAGUUCCGUCUGAUCUCGGAAGCUAAGCAAGGUCGGGCCUGGUUAGUACUUGGUUGGGAGACCACCUAGGAAGACCAAGUGCUGUAGGCG
RNAcentral lists this ribosomal RNA (119 nucleotides) under Pteropus alecto (black flying fox). The record is from RNAcentral. Lineage: Eukaryota; Metazoa; Chordata; Mammalia; Chiroptera; Pteropodidae.